UUCAGGCCUAACACAUGCAAGUCGAACGGUAACAGGACGCUGUGAUCCCUUCGGGGUGAACUUGUCGCUGACGAGUGGCGGACGGGUGAGUAAUGCUUAGGAAUCUGCCCAGUAGUGGGGGACAACCCGGGGAAACUCGGGCUAAUACCGCAUACGCCCUACGGGGGAAAGCGGGGGAUCUUCGGACCUCGCGCUAUUGGAUGAGCCUAAGUCGGAUUAGCUUGUUGGUGGGGUAAUGGCCCACCAAGGCAACGAUCCGUAGCUGGUCUGAGAGGACGAUCAGCCACACUGGGACUGAGACACGGCCCAGACUCCUACGGGAGGCAGCAGUGGGGAAUAUUGGACAAUGGGCGAAAGCCUGAUCCAGCAAUGCCGCGUGUGUGAAGAAGGCCUGCGGGUUGUAAAGCACUUUCAGUANAGAAGAAAAGCCCAGGGCUAAUAUCCCUGAGUCUUGACGUAACCUACAGAAGAAGCACCGGCUAACUCCGUGCCAGCAGCCGCGG
Molecule: ribosomal RNA, 503 nt
Filed under: uncultured bacterium
Lineage: Bacteria
Description: bacterial SSU rRNA
Rfam family: Bacterial small subunit ribosomal RNA
Source: RNAcentral